CCUCCGAGUAGGCCUCCCUGAAGCCUGAACUCGGCAGGCCCCAAGGAAGCCAGGAAGAAGAAGGCAGGCAGAGUUCUCUGCAGCAGCAGACCCUCUGCCCAGAACAUCCAGCACAGCUUUUGCCAGAUGAACUGAUGAGCCAGCAACGAGGUGUUGAUGCUUUGGCAGACAAAUGGAAGAUGAGAAAAUGGCACCCCCAACUGCCGAUUUCAACGGAAGUACAGAGCACAUGCAGAACAGGAGCUAGUCAAUCUACAUGUGAGGUCCCUGCACAGGCGCAGAACUCAUUCUUUAUUAAUGCAAUGGAUCACGAUCCAGAUCAUUUACUUAUCUUAAGCAGUCGUGACCAAAAAGAACCUGAUCUAACCUACAGAUCACUUUUAUAGCUGACUACAUAAAACCUUUUGGACAUUGUUAGCAUGUGUCCAAAUAAACAUUUAGGUAAAAAUGUUAGCACAAAAUAUAAUCUGAGGGGCUUAAUAAAUACUGUAUGCUAA
Long non-coding RNA from Hemicordylus capensis (graceful crag lizard), 497 nucleotides. RefSeq lists it as uncharacterized. The transcript is spliced from 2 exons. The record is from RefSeq and is a predicted model, not a curated record. Lineage: Eukaryota; Metazoa; Chordata; Lepidosauria; Squamata; Cordylidae.